Molecule: long non-coding RNA, 1534 nt
Organism: Andrographis paniculata
Lineage: Eukaryota; Viridiplantae; Streptophyta; Magnoliopsida; Lamiales; Acanthaceae
Exons: 3
Source: RefSeq, a predicted model, not a curated record
UAGAGGCCCUAUCGACCGUCCUUUUUUCUUUCUCCUUCCUUCUCCCCCAAAUGCAAUUUUUGGAAGGACAAUUUUGGUUGUCUUCAUCGCUGUGCACGCCAACCCUCGGUGUCGACGUCUCCGUUGGAUCAGCAAUCGUCCUCAUCAUCGUCGUCAGUUGAAAGUAAAAUAUGUAUGAGCAAUGGCGGAUGAAGACGAAAGCCAUGGAGAUAAUGAGGUACACGAGAUUAAUAAUCUAUCCAAGUCAAAUAACAAGUUUUCUCAAAAACCUCUCAAUAAUUGAAACAUGGAUGAGGAUGUGGAAUAGACCAACACAUAGUGCAACGUGACAACUGAUGCUCGAGUUGGUGUUGGCCAAAAGAAAUAGAGAUUUUUUGGACGUAUAUGUGAGACUUUCGUUGUUUUAAUGGAAGAAAACAUAGAAUAAGUAGACUUGAAAAUAAGAGAAUUCCUGGUGGAUGUGAGAGCUGGCGGAUGGAGAUCCGAUCGCAAUGUACCAAAUAGAUUGCUAUACGUGUCCAAGCACAACCAUAGUAUCGUAGAUGUUAGAAUCCAGCAGACUUCGUAAGUCAUUUUUCUAUUUCUAUUACAAUUUUUAGUUUUUUACUCCGAUUGAAUUCUUUAUAUUAAUAGUAACCGGAGAGUGAUAGUCAACAUGCAUAUCUUGAAAAACACAAGACGGUCUUCAAGUUCGAGUUAUAUUGGUAUAUCGUAAAAGAUCAGCCCAAAUGGUUGGAAUUUGUUGUUGGAAAUAAAGGCAAAACACCCGAUUGAUGUUCUGAGGUUAAAAAGAACAUCUUGAGAAAAGGUCUGCAAGUGAUAAUGUUGAUAAACUCUCCCCAAAGACCUAUGUUGAUUCAACUACUGGAGCAUUACAAAUGGUUAAGAUGCAAGGACAAGAUGUUCAUCUUUUGUCAGAUUUAGGCAGAUCUUCUACAAUUGAUUUAGAACGUCCAAUUGGUGUUAAAUAGGCCAAGACAAGUGAUAAACUAAACAAUCAGAAGAAGCGUAGAUUGAAAAGGCUUGAUGAGUCUCAAGCUUCGGUAACAAAAAUUAUCAUUGCUGGUUUAAUGACUAUGGACUCCGAGAGCUGUGAAAGGUGGUCAGCAUCGGAGGCUUUUGAAUGCAAAAAGAAACGAAAGAAUGAAGAACGCUUGUCUAUAAGAGCUGAGAAUGAGCGAUGCUUGAAACCUUGAUUGCAAGUCGAGUGGCGGAUUUGAAAGACACGGUGGAAGUUGGCCUAAGAGUCGGGCAAGGUGAAAGUAGAAAAUUCCUUCUCAAUGAAGACAACACUACUGAAGGCAUUUAAUAAUAGUACAGUUGGACCGUUGAAACUGAGACUGGGAAUUGUGUUGAUUCUUUGUUGUUUGUUUACAAUGUUGAAGGUUAGAUUCUCGUUUUUGGAAUGUGCAUAUCGGUUGUAGGUAUCCUUGUGUGGAGAAUUGCGUUGAAGUUUUAACAAUUUAGUGUAGAUUUGUUUAUUGCUGUUAAUGUUAAAGAUAAUUGUUGGACCAUUGAGCAGUCAACUAAAGAU